RNAcentral lists this ribosomal RNA (296 nucleotides) under Filistata insidiatrix. RNAcentral describes it as "partial 28S ribosomal RNA". It matches the Rfam family "Eukaryotic large subunit ribosomal RNA", at positions 1596 to 1873 of the family's 3401-position model. The record is from RNAcentral. Lineage: Eukaryota; Metazoa; Arthropoda; Arachnida; Araneae; Filistatidae.
GAAAGGGAAUCGGGUCAAUAUUCCCGAACCCGGACACGGAGAUCGGGCCUUCGGGUCCAAGUGCGGUAACGCAACCGAACUCGGAGAAGUCGACGGGAGUCCCGGGAAGAGUUGUCUUUUCUUUGUAAGGGCUCGGGUCCCUGGAAUCGGCUCGUCCGGAGAUAGGGAUGCUGUUCCCGUAAAGCACCGCGGCUCUUGCGGUGUCCGGAGCGCUCCUGUCGGCCCUUGAAAAUCCGAGGGAGAAAGUGUGAUUUUCGUGCCGGACCGUACCCAUAUCCGCAGCAGGUCUCCAAGGU